UCCACAUUUUCAUGUUGUUGUUAUGAGGGAAAGCCAAUUAGAAAAGUUUCAGAAGUGAUAGUCUUCAGAGCUACUCGUGAUUGUUAGAAAAGUAUCCAGACCGCAGUUGACAAGAGUUGUGUAGCAGUAAUUUAUUUGUUUCUUCCUCAAACUGUUCGCUCAGAAAAGAAAUGAUUGAUUGUAAGAGUUGGGGAUCCGACAAUCAGUUGUUUAAACAUAGGCAGUGAAGAUAAGUUCAGA
This 240-nucleotide long non-coding RNA is filed under the name Brassica napus (rape). RNAcentral describes it as "long non-coding RNA (BNAP_LNC003513)". Lineage: Eukaryota; Viridiplantae; Streptophyta; Magnoliopsida; Brassicales; Brassicaceae. The record is from RNAcentral.